CCUACGGGGGGCAGCAGUGGGGAAUAUUGGACAAUGGGGGCAACCCUGAUCCAGCCAUGCCGCGUGUGUGAAGAAGGCCCUCGGGUUGUAAAGCACUUUCAGUGAGGAAGAACGCCUGGUGGUUAAUACCCAUCAGGAAAGACAUCACUCACAGAAGAAGCACCGGCUAACUCCGUGCCAGCAGCCGCGGUAAUACGGAGGGUGCGAGCGCUAAUCGGAAUUACUGGGCGUAAAGCGCGCGUAGGUGGCUUGAUAAGCCGGUUGUGAAAGCCCCGGGCUCAACCUGGGAACGGCAUCCGGAACUGUCAAGCUAGAGUGCAGGAGAGGAAGGUAGAAUUCCCGGUGUAGCGGUGAAAUGCGUAGAGAUCGGGAGGAAUACCAGUGGCGAAGGCGGCCUUCUGGACUGACACUGACACUGAGGUGCGAAAGCGUGGGUAGCAAACAGGAUUAGAUACCCCAGUAGUC
RNAcentral lists this ribosomal RNA (465 nucleotides) under Vreelandella stevensii. RNAcentral's name for it is "partial 16S ribosomal RNA". It matches the Rfam family "Bacterial small subunit ribosomal RNA", at positions 338 to 795 of the family's 1533-position model. The record is from RNAcentral. Lineage: Bacteria; Pseudomonadati; Pseudomonadota; Gammaproteobacteria; Oceanospirillales; Halomonadaceae.